Lemur catta (Ring-tailed lemur) is the source of this 2249-nucleotide long non-coding RNA. RefSeq lists it as uncharacterized. The transcript is spliced from 4 exons. Lineage: Eukaryota; Metazoa; Chordata; Mammalia; Primates; Lemuridae. The record is from RefSeq and is a predicted model, not a curated record.
GUCAGCCCUACAGGCGAGGCAGGAGGUGGGUACCGACACCACUUCCAACAUCUAAAUGCUUCUUUAAACGGUCGCCCCGAUGUGUGGCGCGGGCCAGCUAUCCCUCAGCGCCUGCCUGUCACAGGUGCGCGCUGCCGGCAGACCGCCACAUCUGGGGGCUCGCUUCCUGUUGCAGCCCACCCUUGUCUCAGGACUCCUCUCGCGUCCCCGGGCAGCCGCCUCAGCUAACGACCACAUGAAAACGUCUCAGCACCCAAUACCAUCUAUUUCAUCUCCAUCAGCGAUGGAGAGAAUGGUCUUCGCCGCGGCUGGGCUGCACAGCAGCGCCACGGUCCCCAGCUGAGCCUGCGACCGCCAUUUUAGACAGCUCAAGGCAGCGGCCAUUUCAGAGCGCACCACUCAGUAGCGGUGGCGACUCUGCUCCUCACCUUCACCGAGGCCUGAACAGGGUCAAGAGCCAGUCGUCGCAGACUGGAGGUGGGGGGGAAGGGAAGGGAAUGAAAAACAAAACAGAGGAAAGAAGGAUUCGGGGACAGGGUGAUGCUCUCAGCUCAGGGAUAUCGUCUAAGCCACCUCCACAGAGAUCCGAUUCGCUGCUGGCGCGGUCGCGGGUCUGCGGAUAAACUUAGCACUCUGGAACACCCGAACCCUACAGUCUGCACGAGCGACUCCGCCGCUGCCCAAUCAGCACCAGAGUUGCUCCCUGCUACCAAUCCGCGCUGAGCAGCGGGGCGGGACCAAAGGAGAGGCCCAAGCUCGGUUGAGGCGCGGCCCCACCGCAGCCGUGGCGCUGAAUUGGUGAUAGCGGUGAACCUGGGCGUGAGGCGAUUGUUCUGAAACUCGCUCUCCGCCCGGGGCUGGUCUAGAGUGCAGAUGCUUGGGUGAUGCCAGAUACAGUUGGUGAUUGUGCAGGGCUGGCGUGAAACCCAGGAAUCUGCAUUUUCGUCAGCCCUGGCGCUCUGUCCAGGCAGGGGUGAUGCACGGCUGGAGGAGCGCGCAAAGCCUCGGCUGCUGUGCCUCCACCACCUCUUUGUUCCCCGAGGCCGCACCCCAGGCCAGGUUAUGCAGCCGUCGCUUCUUUUCCUUGGUUUCCUACUAGAAUCGAGAAGAAAACGCCCUCUCCCUAGCCCGCCCCACACCAGACCUCUCAGGCGGCCCCCGGUGGGCUGGGGGAGCCGCCGUGGGCGACUCGGUAGGUUCUCCAGAAGCAGAUGUUAAAACAGAGCUCCUGGAGCCAGUAUUGUAGGGCCUGACUUUGUAAAUCCUAGGGCACCAGAGGAAGAAAGUACCUGCCAGAAUAUACAAACUCAUGCUUGAGAUACCUACUUUAGACAGCCGUUCAAGAAGGAAGGAGUGGUCAAUUGGGAAAAUGCUGUGAGAUAUCAAAUGCAAUGAAGACCAAGAAGAGACCGCAGGAUUGGGGCAAUAUGGGGGUCAUUGGUAAUUUUGAAAAGAGCAGUCUCUGGUAAGUGAAGAGGGCAAAAAAUUGGAGAAGAUUGAGGAGAAACUGUGAGAUGAAGGAGUGGAGACAGCAUAUAUAGGGAACUCUAUCAGGAAGUUUUCCUGUGGAGGGUUUGAGAAGUAGUUGAUAAUAGUUGGAGGAGGUUGUGAGGUUUAAGGAAGUUCUCUUUUUUAAAUAAGAUAGAACAUGAUUAGCAUCCCCGGCCCCCACUAAAUGCCACUAGGGCUUCCCAGUCAUCAUGACAUCAAAAUGCAUCCUCAUCCAGAUUUUCCUUGGAGGGGGAAAUCCUGUCCCUCCCCCUUCUCCAACUAUAACAUGUCUGUGCAACAGUGCAAAUGAUCCAAUAGAAAGGAAGAUGCAGGAGUGAAGACUGAGAAUGCAAGAGGAGAUGGGACCUAGAUGGGGCCGGGAUGUUUUGCCCAUUGUUACAGAAAGGAAGCAAAGAGAAGGUGUACUGAAUGGGUAGGUUAGUAUUUUGAUGGUGGGAAGAUGAGGGAGAUAUAUUAUUUGUUUUUUUUUUUAAAAGGAGGUAUGAGGGGUGGAUUAUCUGUUGGGUGUAGGGGCAGGUAUUUGGGUAAUGAAUUUGAAAAGGGAGAAGAAGAUGGGAAAUAGUCAUUUCGAACCAUAGAAAGCAAAUGCUAGGAAAGUGUUGUUGGAUUGAAAGAAGAUUGAGUAUCCAUUUAAGAUUUGAUGGUAAUAAUGAGUUAGGGUGCACUUUAAAAUAACUAAAAGAGUGGAAUUGGAAUGUCCCUAACACAAAGAAAUGAUAAAUGCCUGAGGUGAUGGA